GUUUUUCCUUAUCAUCUUGGAUUUUCUUCUAAACCUAACUCCUUUACACAUAUUUGCACGCCUCAUCUCUAUUGUAGGAGUGAUGUCAAUUUACCCAUAAUCAUAGCCACAUAGCACACUUGAAUCUACAUUAGCCCGUAUUUAUUCCCCCUCUGCCCCUAGAUCUCAUUAUUCACAUCCUAAGUGGUCGUUCUCCUCGAUUCGGCUAUAUCGUCAUCAUCUCCAAGUCACUCGCUUCCAGUGAUCCAGUUGACACUUCCACUACAUCUGUAGAUAACUAUUCAUGCCAAUCGGCGUUGGUGAUGUUUGAAGAUAUAAAGACGCUUGUUGUUUCAAACAUAAUCUGUGUGCUUUUAUGUAUUUAAACAUUAAUUUCAUAUUGAUAGUAGUUUUGGUUCUUUUUUUUUUUCCUGAUCCGGUAAUAAUUUGAAUAUUACUUUUUCUUUUUGUAUAGUUGACAAUCCUUUCAUGUUGCAGGAGUAUUAGUAGAAUUAAGGGAAAGUGAUAGUGCUUAUAGAAGACUUCUCUUUGUAUAACGAUAUAUCAUGAAACACUAAUAUCUCUGAUAAAUAAAAUGGUUGAAAAUCUAUGUUUUAUUCUA
Long non-coding RNA from Lactuca sativa (garden lettuce), 601 nucleotides. RefSeq lists it as uncharacterized. NCBI's taxonomy places the organism in Eukaryota, Viridiplantae, Streptophyta, Magnoliopsida, Asterales, Asteraceae. The record is from RefSeq and is a predicted model, not a curated record.